RNAcentral lists this ribosomal RNA (467 nucleotides) under uncultured bacterium. RNAcentral describes it as "partial 16S ribosomal RNA". It matches the Rfam family "Bacterial small subunit ribosomal RNA", at positions 28 to 507 of the family's 1533-position model. The record is from RNAcentral.
GACGAACGCUGGCGGCGUGCUUAACACAUGCAAGUCGAACGGAAAGGCCCUGCUUGCAGGGUGCUCGAGUGGCGAACGGGUGAGUAACACGUGGGUGAUCUGCCCCUUACUUUGGGAUAAGCCUGGGAAACUGGGUCUAAUACUGGAUAGGACCAUGCUGUAGGUGGUGUGGUGGAAAGAUUAGUUUCGGUAAGGGAUGAGCUCGCGGCCUAUCAGCUUGUUGGUGGGGUAAUGGCCUACCAAGGCGUCGACGGGUAGCCGGCCUGGGAGGGUGGACGGCGCCAUGGGGACUGCGGGAGGGCCCAGGCUCCAAGGGGGGGCAACGGGGGGAAGUUUGACGAAGGGGGGGCGAGCGUGAGGCGGCGGCCCCCGGGUGGGGAAGCCGGGUUUGGGGUUGUGAACCCCUUUCGUCCGAAGAGAACCCCUUGUGGACGGGAUAGGGAUAGAAAGACCCCGGUAAAUCCGCG